UGAAUUGACGGGGCCGCACAAGCGGUGGAGCAUUGUGGUUUUAAUUCGAUGCAACGCGAAGAACCUUACCUGGGCUUGACAUCCCGGGAAUCCCCUGGAAACAGGGGAGUGCCCUUCGGGGAACCCGGUGACAGGUGCUGCAUGGCUGUCGUCAGCUCGUGUCGUGAGAUGUUGGGUUAAGUCCCGCAACGAGCGCAACCCUUUGUCUUUAAUUGCCAUCAUUUAGUUGGGCACUUUAAAGAGACUGCCGGUGUCAAACCGGAGGAAGGUGGGGAUGACGUCAAGUCCUCAUGGCCUUUAUGACCAGGGCUACACACGUACUACAAUGGCCGGUACAAAGGGCAGCCACUUAGCGAUAAGGAGCCAAUCCCGUAAAGCCGGUCUCAGUCCGGAUUGGAGUCUGCAACUCGACUCCAUGAAGUUGGAAUCGCUAGUAAUCGCAGAUCAGCACGCUGCGGUGAAUACGUUCCCGGGCCUU
Molecule: ribosomal RNA, 478 nt
Filed under: uncultured Desulfocapsa sp.
Lineage: Bacteria; Pseudomonadati; Thermodesulfobacteriota; Desulfobulbia; Desulfobulbales; Desulfocapsaceae
Description: bacterial SSU rRNA
Rfam family: Bacterial small subunit ribosomal RNA
Source: RNAcentral